RNAcentral lists this ribosomal RNA (498 nucleotides) under uncultured bacterium. RNAcentral's name for it is "partial 16S ribosomal RNA". It matches the Rfam family "Bacterial small subunit ribosomal RNA", at positions 30 to 523 of the family's 1533-position model. The record is from RNAcentral.
AUUGAACGCUGGCGGCAUGCCUUACACAUGCAAGUCGAACGGUAACAGGUCUUCGGAUGCUGACGAGUGGCGAACGGGUGAGUAAUAUAUCGGAACGUGCCCACUCGUGGGGGAUAACUGCUCGAAAGAGCAGCUAAUACCGCAUACGACCUGAGGGUGCAAGGGGGGGAUCGCAAGACCUCUCGCUCUUGGAGCGGCCGAUAUCAGAUUAGUUAGUUGGUGGGGUAAAGGCCUACCAAGGCAACGAUCUGUAGUUGGUCUGAGAGGACGACCAGCCACACUGGGACUGAGACACGGCCCAGACUCCUACGGGAGGCAGCAGUGGGGAAUUUUGGACAAUGGGCGCAAGCAUGAUCCAGCAAUGCCGCGUGCAGGAAGAAGGCCUUCGGGUUGUAAACUGCUUUUGUCAGGGAAGAAAUCUUCUGGGCUAAUACCCCGGGAAGAUGACGGUACCUGAAGAAUAAGCACCGGCUAACUACGUGCCAGCCGCCGCCGUAA